RNAcentral lists this long non-coding RNA (1127 nucleotides) under Olea europaea subsp. europaea. Lineage: Eukaryota; Viridiplantae; Streptophyta; Magnoliopsida; Lamiales; Oleaceae. The record is from RNAcentral.
AAUAAAUUGGCUCUAUAAUUACAAGACCUCUUCAUCCUCUCAUACUUGGAUUUUGGCAUAACAUUUGAGAGAGAGCAUAGAGAGAUAAGCAAGUGGGAGCUUUCCAUAAUUCCAGCUGAUCUUUUCUCGGUAUAUCCAUUGUCAUUCCCGUGGACGACGGUGCAUGAUCCGGUGUGGCACAAAUCUGAGCUCAACAUCAAGAACACUUCAUUGGUGGUGUUGAAGAAGUUUUGGGUCGUUUUGGUUCGAUUUUACACUUUGAGAGUUUAUUAUUUUGCAUUGUUGUUGUAAUAAUCUUUUAUAAGCUACACUUUAAACUCUACAAAUAGUAUCAGAGCUUAGGCUAACGGUGAAAAGUGUUAAAACAACUUGAAAAUCAGAUUGGAAGUCGAAGGGGGUGCAAUUUUGUUCGAAAACAAGUUCAGCAAAAUCUUCAAACCCAUUUUCUGGAAAAACGACACACCUGGUGGAUGAAAGGAGAGCACCACCAGACUCCAGACGUCAAGCAAAAUAUUCUGGUGCAGCGCGUGUGACACACGCGUCGUCGGUGGAGACGACGCGUGAGACCACACACAGAGGACACAGGAGGCGCGUGUGGAAGAUUCAGCCGGAGGUCAAAAAAGAAAAAUUGUUCCUUGAUGAAUUUCUGACCUUCUGGUGGUGUUGGAUUUCUGUUUGGUACACUAUGGAAGCAGAUACAGUCUCGGGCAAAAAAGUGGAAAUGGGAAAACUUUUCCAUUGGCGGCUCGGUGGCGUUUCCUGGUGUUUCACCAGCUUUUGGAUGACUUAGGGCAGUUACUGGAGGCUUUAGAUCGAUAAAGACUCGCAUCUCUCCUUAUACGAACCAAUAGAUUGGUUCGCUCGGUUUGCGCACUCUAACACCCUCUCGAAUUUACAAUUGAAAUAUUGUGUUAUUUGCUGCUAUAUUGUUACUUAACUCUUGUGAUAUUGGUUAUGUGUUACUUGUUAUGAUAUCAUCACUUAUGUCAUCUUAGAAAGUAAUUUAUACAUAAAUUGGUUUGAGCUUGCAUUUGUAUGUGGGUAAAUUGGCUAAGUAAAACUUUUUUCGAAAACAUUAUUUUGCUAGUAUGGCUUCUUGAGUUGAAUUGGCACAAUUCAAUGGUAAG